RNAcentral lists this small RNA (107 nucleotides) under Ancylostoma duodenale. Its description in RNAcentral is "Nematode sRNA ceN72-3_ceN74-2". It matches the Rfam family "Nematode sRNA ceN72-3_ceN74-2". The record is from Rfam by way of RNAcentral. Lineage: Eukaryota; Metazoa; Nematoda; Chromadorea; Rhabditida; Ancylostomatidae.
CAUGUGGUCCGGAGUCAGUGGGUUAUCCGUUAUGAGCAACUCUGAAAUGAAGCACAUGCACCAUUCUCAAAGGCACACUCUUCCCCACUGACACAACUUGACCACAU